UACGUAGGGUGCAAGCGUUAAUCGGAAUUACUGGGCGUAAAGCGUGCGCAGGCGGUUUUGUAAGUCAGAUGUGAAAUCCCCGGGCUUAACCUGGGAACUGCGUUUGAAACUACAAGGCUAGAGUGUAGCAGAGGGGGGUGGAAUUCCACGUGUAGCAGUGAAAUGCGUAGAGAUGUGGAGGAACACCGAUGGCGAAGGCAGCCCCCUGGGUUAGCACUGACGCUCAGGCACGAAAGCGUGGGGAGCAAACAGG
This 253-nucleotide ribosomal RNA is filed under the name uncultured bacterium. Its description in RNAcentral is "partial 16S ribosomal RNA". It matches the Rfam family "Bacterial small subunit ribosomal RNA", at positions 524 to 776 of the family's 1533-position model. The record is from RNAcentral.